This 377-nucleotide ribosomal RNA is filed under the name uncultured bacterium. Its description in RNAcentral is "bacterial SSU rRNA". It matches the Rfam family "Bacterial small subunit ribosomal RNA", at positions 521 to 896 of the family's 1533-position model. The record is from RNAcentral.
UAAGACAGAGGGUGCAAGCGUUGUUCGGAAUUACUGGGCGUAAAGGGCGUGUAGGCGGUGAGGUGUGUCUGGUGUGAAAGCCCUCGGCUUAACCGGGGAAUGGCAUUAGAAACUACCUUGCUGGAGUGCAGGAGAGGAUGGCGGAAUUCCCAGUGUAGAGGUGAAAUUCGUAGAUACUGGGAGGAACACCGGAAGCGAAGGCGGCCAUCUGGUCUGUAACUGACGCUGAGACGCAAAAGCGUGGGGAGCAAACAGGAUUAGAUACCCUGGUAGUCCACGCCGUAAACGAUGUUCACUAGAUGUUGGGAGUAUUGACCCUUCCAGCGUCGCAGCUAACGCAUUAAGUGAACCGCCUGGGGAGUACGGUCGCAAGACUA